GAUGAACGCUGACAGAAUGCUUAACACAUGCAAGUCGAUGGGGAAGUGGUGCUUGCACCAUGGUAACCAUGGCGGACGGGUGAGUAACGCGUAAGGACCUUGCCUCCGGGACUGGGAUAACAGCAGGAAACUGCUGAUAAUACCGAAUAAGGUCAUUAAGCUGCAUAGCUAAGUGAUGAAAGGAGACGCCUGCGGAGAGCCUUGCGUCCUAUUAGCUAGUUGGAGGGGUAACGGCCCACCAAGGCGAAGAUAGGUAGCCGGCCUGAGAGGGUGGACGGCCACAAGGGGACUGAGAUACGGCCCUUACUCCUACGGGAGGCAGCAGUGGGGAAUAUUGGACAAUGGGGGCAACCCUGAUCCAGCAAUUCUGUGUGCACGAAGACGGUUUUCGGAUUGUAAAGUGCUUUCAGCAGGGAAGAAGGAAGUGACGGUACCUGCAGAAGAAGCGACGGCUAAAUACGUG
RNAcentral lists this ribosomal RNA (463 nucleotides) under uncultured bacterium. Its description in RNAcentral is "partial 16S ribosomal RNA". It matches the Rfam family "Bacterial small subunit ribosomal RNA", at positions 28 to 507 of the family's 1533-position model. The record is from RNAcentral.